AAAAGACUCUCGGCAACGGAUAUCUCGGCUCUUGCAUCGAUGAAGAACGUAGCGAAAUGCGAUACUUGGUGUGAAUUGCAGAAUCCCGUGAACCAUCGAGUCUUUGAACGCAAGUUGCGCCCGAAGCCAUUAGGCCGAGGGCACGCCUGCCUGGGUGU
Molecule: ribosomal RNA, 158 nt
Filed under: Cyclopia genistoides
Lineage: Eukaryota; Viridiplantae; Streptophyta; Magnoliopsida; Fabales; Fabaceae
Also listed under: 7 other names
Description: 5.8S ribosomal RNA
Rfam family: 5.8S ribosomal RNA
About the family: 5.8S ribosomal RNA (5.8S rRNA) is a component of the large subunit of the eukaryotic ribosome. It is transcribed by RNA polymerase I as part of the 45S precursor that also contains 18S and 28S rRNA.
Source: RNAcentral